GGGUGCUCCAGAUAAGAGACUCUGCCCAUCAAUAUUUCCCAUGUGUUCUAACAUGUAAAGAUGAAGAGACGUCAAGCAUCCACUGAAGCGUCUAAUUAUUAAAAACCUUUUGUAGUCAAAUUUUAAUAAAGUAGUCAUGCAUCACUA
Long non-coding RNA from Polypterus senegalus (gray bichir), 147 nucleotides. RefSeq lists it as uncharacterized. The transcript is spliced from 3 exons. The record is from RefSeq and is a predicted model, not a curated record. Lineage: Eukaryota; Metazoa; Chordata; Cladistia; Polypteriformes; Polypteridae.